UGGGGGAUAUUGCACAAUGGGCGCAAGCCUGAUGCAGCCAUGCCGCGUGAGUGAAGAAGGCCUUAGGGUUGUAAAACUCUUUCACCGGUGAAGAUGAUGACGGUAGCGGGAGAAGAAGCCCCGGCUAAUUCCGUGCCAGCAGCCGCGGUAAUACGGAAGGGGCUAGCGUUGUUCGGAAUUACUGGGCGUAAAGAGCGCGUAGGCGGCUCUUCAAGUUAGGCGUGAAAGGCCUGGGCUCAACCUGGGAACUGCGUUUAAUACUGGAGAGCUUGAGUCCGGGAGAGGGUGGUGGAAUUCCCAGUGUAGAGGUGAAAUUCGUAGAUAUUGGGAGGAACACCAGUGGCGAAGGCGGCCACCUGGCCCGGAACUGACGCUGAGGCGCGAAAGCGUGGGGAGCAAACAGGAUUAGAUACCCCCGUAGUCC
RNAcentral lists this ribosomal RNA (424 nucleotides) under uncultured prokaryote. RNAcentral's name for it is "bacterial SSU rRNA". It matches the Rfam family "Bacterial small subunit ribosomal RNA", at positions 355 to 796 of the family's 1533-position model. The record is from RNAcentral.